CGCGUAGGCGGUCUCUUAAGUCAGAUGUGAAAGCCCGGGGCUUAACCUCGGAAGUGCAUUUGAAACUAAGGGACUUGAGUAUGGGAGAGGGAAGUGGAAUUCCUGGUGUAGCGGUGAAAUGCGUAGAUAUCAGGAGGAACACCGGUGGCGAAAGCGACUUCCUGGACCAAUACUGACGCUGAGGCGCGAAGGCGUGGGGAGCAAACAGGAUUAGAUACCCUGGUAGUCC
This 229-nucleotide ribosomal RNA is filed under the name uncultured bacterium. Its description in RNAcentral is "partial 16S ribosomal RNA". It matches the Rfam family "Bacterial small subunit ribosomal RNA", at positions 568 to 796 of the family's 1533-position model. The record is from RNAcentral.